UACGUAGGUGGCAAGCGUUGUCCGGAUUUAUUGGGUUUAAAGGGUGCGUAGGCGGCCUCAUAAGUCAGUGGUGAAAUACUCUAGCUCAACUAGAGAUGUGCCAUUGAUACUGCGAGGCUUGAGUGAAGUCGAGGUAGGCGGAAUUGACGGUGUAGCGGUGAAAUGCUUAGAUAUCGUCAAGAACACCGAUAGUGAAGACAGCUUACUAGACUUAUACUGACGCUGAGGCACGGAAGUGUGGGGAUCAAACAGG
Molecule: ribosomal RNA, 253 nt
Filed under: uncultured bacterium
Lineage: Bacteria
Description: partial 16S ribosomal RNA
Rfam family: Bacterial small subunit ribosomal RNA
Source: RNAcentral